RNAcentral lists this ribosomal RNA (253 nucleotides) under uncultured bacterium. RNAcentral describes it as "partial 16S ribosomal RNA". It matches the Rfam family "Bacterial small subunit ribosomal RNA", at positions 524 to 776 of the family's 1533-position model. The record is from RNAcentral.
UACAGAGGUGGCAAGCGUUGUUCGGAAUUACUGGGCGUAAAGGGCUCGUAGGCGGCCAACUAAGUCGGACGUGAAAUCCCUCGGCUUAACCGGGGAACUGCGUCCGAUACUGGAUGGCUUGAGUUUGGGAGAGGGAUGCGGAAUUCCAGGUGUAGCGGUGAAAUGCGUAGAUAUCUGGAGGAACACCGGUGGCGAAGGCGGCAUCCUGGACCAACACUGACGCUGAGGAGCGAAAGCCAGGGGAGCAAACGGG